Molecule: ribosomal RNA, 500 nt
Filed under: uncultured bacterium
Lineage: Bacteria
Description: partial 16S ribosomal RNA
Rfam family: Bacterial small subunit ribosomal RNA
Source: RNAcentral
AUUGAACGCUGGCGGCAUGCCUUACACAUGCAAGUCGAACGGCAGCACGGGAGCAAUCCUGGUGGCGAGUGGCGAACGGGUGAGUAAUAUAUCGGAACGUGCCCAGUCGUGGGGAAUAACGCAGCGAAAGCUGUGCUAAUACCGCAUACGAUCUACGGAUGAAAGCGGGGGAUCGCAAGACCUAGCGCGAAUGGAGCGGCCGAUAUCAGAUUAGCUAGUUGGUGGGGUAAAGGCCCACCAAGGCGACGAUCUGUAGCUGGUCUGAGAGGACGACCAGCCACACUGGAACUGAGACACGGUCCAGACUCCUACGGGAGGCAGCAGUGGGGAAUUUUGGACAAUGGGCGCAAGCCUGAUCCAGCAAUGCCGCGUGCAGGAUGAAGGCCUUCGGGUUGUAAACUGCUUUUGUACGGAACGAAACGGCCCUUUCUAAUACAGGGGGCUAAUGACGGUACCGUAAGAAUAAGCACCGGCUAACUACGUGCCAGCCGCCGCCGUAA